This 493-nucleotide ribosomal RNA is filed under the name Pseudomonas aeruginosa. RNAcentral describes it as "partial 23S ribosomal RNA". It matches the Rfam family "Bacterial large subunit ribosomal RNA", at positions 586 to 1076 of the family's 2925-position model. The record is from RNAcentral. Lineage: Bacteria; Pseudomonadati; Pseudomonadota; Gammaproteobacteria; Pseudomonadales; Pseudomonadaceae.
UUAAUGGGUGAUAGCGUGCCUUUUGUAGAAUGAACCGGCGAGUUACGAUUACGUGCGAGGUUAAGUUGAGAAGACGGAGCCGCAGCGAAAGCGAGUCUGAAUAGGGCGAAUUAGUACGUGGUCGUAGACCCGAAACCAGGUGAUCUACCCAUGUCCAGGGUGAAGGUGAGGUAACACUUACUGGAGGCCCGAACCCACGCACGUUGAAAAGUGCGGGGAUGAGGUGUGGGUAGCGGAGAAAUUCCAAUCGAACCUGGAGAUAGCUGGUUCUCUCCGAAAUAGCUUUAGGGCUAGCCUCGUGAUCGAGAAUACUGGAGGUAGAGCACUGUUUGGACUAGGGGGGCAUCUCGCUUUACCGAAUUCAGACAAACUCCGAAUGCCAGAUAUUUAUACACGGGAGUCAGACUGCGAGUGAUAAGAUCCGUAGUCAAGAGGGAAACAGCCCAGACCACCAGCUAAGGUCCCAAAGUAAUUGUUAAGUGGAAAAGGAUGU